UCAAGCUAUAAAGAGCGUAGGGAGAAUGACUUGGCAUCAGGAGCCGAAGAAGGACGUGACAAGCUGCGAAAAGCUGCGGUUAGGAGCAAAUAUCCAUAGACCCGCAGAUAUCCGAAUGGGGAAACCCGGUACGGCAAUACCGUAUCACUGCAUGGUAAAUACAUAGCCAUGUGGAGGAAACCCUCUGAACUGAAACAUCUAAGUAGGAGGAGGAAGAGAAAGAAACAUCGAUUUCCUAAGUAGCGGCGAGCGAAAGGGAAAGAGGCCAAACCAGAGAUAGCAAUAUCUUUGGGGUUGCGGACUGCAAAAUUGAUUCAAUAUUUUUAGCAGAAGUGUAUGGGAAGACACACCAUAGUAGGUAAUAGUCCUGUAAGCGAAAAGGAUAUUGACAAGGCAGGAUCCAGAGUACCACCGGACACGAGGAACCCGGUGGGAAGCCGGGGGGACCACCCCCCAAGCCUAAAUACUACCUGAUGACCGAUAGUGAAAAGUACAGUGAUGGAAAGUUGAAAAGAACCCCGGAAGGGGAGUGAAAAAGAAUCUGAAACCCUAUGUUUACAAGCUGCUAAAGCACCAUAUGAGUGCGAUAGCGUACUUUUUGUAGAACGGUCCGGCGAGUGUAUGUUGCAAGCGAGGUUAAGGUGUUAAGCACUGAAGCCGAAGGGAGACCGAGUGUGAAUAGCGCGUACAGUUUGCAGUAUACGACCCGAAACCGGGUGACCUAACCAUGGACAGGUUGAAGUGGAAGUAAAAUUCCAUGGAGGACCGAACCCACGUCUGUUGAAAAAGGCGGGGAUGAGCUGUGGUUAGCGGUGAAAUUCCAAUCGAACUCGGAUAUAGCUGGUUCUCAUCGAAAUAGCUUUAGGGCUAGCCUCAGGAUAGUUUAGCGGAGGUAAAGCACUGAAUGGGCUAGGGGGCUUCACGGCUUACCGAACCCUAUCAAACUCUGAAUGCCGCAUAAAUGUUUCCUGGGAGUCAGACUGCGUGAGAUAAGUUUCGUAGUCAAAAGGGAAAGAGCCCAGACCUACAGCUAAGGUCCCUAAAUGAAUUUAAGUGGAAAAGGAUGUGCAGUUGCGUAGACAACUAGGACGUUGGCUUAGAAGCAGCCACUCAUUUAAAGAGUGCGUAAUAGCUCACUAGUCGAGUGAUUGUGCGCCGAAAAUGUAACGGGGCUAAAAUUCAUACCGAAGCUUAGGAAUGAUAGUAAUAUUGUUGGUAGAUGAGCGUUGUGUAAGUCUGCGAAGCUACACCGAAAGGAGUAGUGGAGAUAUCACAAGUGAGAAUGCCGGAAUGAGUAGCGAGAAUUAUGUGAGAAUCAUAAUGGUCGAAAAUCUAAGGUUUCUUGAGGAAGGUUCGUCCGCUCAAGGUAAGCCGGGAGCUAAGGCGAGGCCGAGAGGCGUAGUCGAUGCACAUACGGUAAAGAUUCCGUAGCCACCGAAGUCGUUAAAUACAGGGACACAGGAACAUAGCCCAUCCCCACCGUUGGUUGAGUGGGGCGUAAGGGAGCGAAAAUUAGUAGCGAAGUGGGUGAUUGUACACUGGCGAGAAAAGCUGUAUGGAUUGACAAGGUGCCCGUACCGCAAACCGACACAGGUAGAUGAGGAGAGAAUCCUAAGACCAGCGGGAGAAGUGUUGUUAAGGAACUCGGCAAAAUGACCCCGUAACUUCGGGAUAAGGGGAGCCUACGAGAGUAGGCCGCAGAGAAUAGUCUCAAGCGACUGUUUAGCAAAAACACAGGUCUAUGCUAAAUCGAAAGAUGAUGUAUAUGGGCUGACGCCUGCCCGGUGCUGGAAGGUUAAGGGGAAGUGUUAGAGCAAUCGAAGCACUGAACUUAAGCCCCAGUAAACGGCGGCCGUAACUAUAACGGUCCUAAGGUAGCGAAAUUCCUUGUCAGGUAAGUUCU
RNAcentral lists this ribosomal RNA (1903 nucleotides) under human gut metagenome. Its description in RNAcentral is "bacterial LSU rRNA". It matches the Rfam family "Bacterial large subunit ribosomal RNA", at positions 3 to 1984 of the family's 2925-position model. The record is from RNAcentral.